AGAGUUUGAUCAUGGCUCAGAACGAACGCUGGCGGCAUGCCUAACACAUGCAAGUCGAACGAACCCUUCGGGGUUAGUGGCGCACGGGUGCGUAACACGUGGGAAUCUGCCCUUUGCUUCGGAAUAACAGUUAGAAAUGACUGCUAAUACCGGAUGAUGUCGUAAGACCAAAGAUUAUCGGCAAAGGAUGAGCCCGCGUAGGAUUAGGUAGUUGGUGGGGUAAAGGCCUACCAAGCCGACGAUCCUUAGCUGGUCUGAGAGGAUGAUCAGCCACACUGGGACUGAGACACGGCCCAGACUCCUACGGGAGGCAGCAGUGGGGAAUAUUGGACAAUGGGCGAAAGCCUGAUCCAGCAAUGCCGCGUGAGUGAUGAAGGCCUUCGGGUUGUAAAGCUCUUUUACCAGGGAUGAUAAUGACAGUACCUGGAGAAUAAGCUCCGGCUAACUCCGUG
Molecule: ribosomal RNA, 452 nt
Filed under: uncultured bacterium
Lineage: Bacteria
Description: bacterial SSU rRNA
Rfam family: Bacterial small subunit ribosomal RNA
Source: RNAcentral